RNAcentral lists this ribosomal RNA (528 nucleotides) under Imtechium sp. enrichment culture. Its description in RNAcentral is "bacterial SSU rRNA". It matches the Rfam family "Bacterial small subunit ribosomal RNA", at positions 355 to 877 of the family's 1533-position model. The record is from RNAcentral. Lineage: Bacteria; Pseudomonadati; Pseudomonadota; Betaproteobacteria.
UGGGGAAUUUUGGACAAUGGGCGCAAGCCUGAUCCAGCAAUGCCGCGUGCAGGAAGAAGGCCUUCGGGUUGUAAACUGCUUUUGUCAGGGAAGAAAUCUUCUGGGCUAAUACCCCGGGAGGAUGACGGUACCUGAAGAAUAAGCACCGGCUAACUACGUGCCAGCAGCCGCGGUAAUACGUAGGGUGCGAGCGUUAAUCGGAAUUACUGGGCGUAAAGCGUGCGCAGGCGGCUUUGCAAGACAGAUGUGAAAUCCCCGGGCUCAACCUGGGAACUGCAUUUGUGACUGCAAGGCUAGAGUACGGCAGAGGGGGAUGGAAUUCCGCGUGUAGCAGUGAAAUGCGUAGAUAUGCGGAGGAACACCAAUGGCGAAGGCAAUCCCCUGGGCCUGUACUGACGCUCAUGCACGAAAGCGUGGGGAGCAAACAGGAUUAGAUACCCUGGUAGUCCACGCCCUAAACGAUGUCAACUGGUUGUUGGACGGCUUGCUGUUCAGUAACGAAGCUAACGCGUGAAGUGACCGCCUGGG